AGUUGCUGAAAAGUUUUUAUUUUGAAAAUAGGAUAAAAAGUGAUAAUACACUUUGCAGCUU
Molecule: transfer RNA, 61 nt
Filed under: Scutopus robustus
Lineage: Eukaryota; Metazoa; Mollusca; Caudofoveata; Limifossorida; Scutopodidae
Description: tRNA-Ser
Source: RNAcentral